AUGGAUUUGCCCAAGCGAGCUCUCCCCCAAGGUUCCCCGCGACGAAGCCCCAGGGCCAUGGAGGGCGACGAGAACGCGGCCCCGAGGCGCCCCGCCGCGGCGGGGCCCGCGUCCCCGCAGAGGAAGAAGGUUCUGGGGGUGCGGAACGGCGCCGGCCGCGGGCAGGAGGGCGCCGCGUCGGCCGCCAAGGCCGCCGCGCUCGCCACGCCGCCUCCCACCGGAGGGGGGGCGGGGACGUACGACCCCAAGACGAACUACACCACGCCGCGGCCCGACUUCCUGCGCUACGACCCCAAGCGGAGCCGCGAGAUCAUCCUCCGCCUGGGGCGCGAGGUGGAGGGCGGCGACAGCUCCAGCGCCACCUCGGGCACCGAGCUCUCCGAGGUGCUGUCUUCCGGCUCGUCGGCGGCGAGAGGGGGCGACUCCGAGUGCGACGACGCCGACGACGAGGAGGAGGUGGUGCCUGCGCAAGGACGGGGAGGCCGCUGGGCGCGGCGACUGCUGCUGCUGCUCGUGUCCUCGGCCUGCCUCUUGUGCUACAUCUACUGUAUGAGUUCCGCUCCCUUCCCUGCUACUACUUCAGAAGAACCCGUCAGUUUCGUCGGAUUUAAUGGGAGCAUGUCUGAUGUCGGUGUUCACGAGGUAGUUCCUCUGCCGGGGCCAAUUCAGUAUGAACAUGAGGCAGAUAUAGGCCAAUCUGUGGUCGGGGGCAGUGACGAUGGCAUCCCUUUGCACGGCCCAGGAGCUUCACCUAGCAAUUUCAUGGCAGUUGCAAUGGUGGGAAUGGCAGAUGCCUGCCCUAAUGUUGCCUUCGGAGAAUUUACAUGCCAAAUCGGGGAUGAGAGCAGCGAGAUUUUGGAUGUUCUGAAUGAAGAUUCUGGGAUAGGCGAGCUGAAAUCGGAAGCGAGCAUGAGGCCACUCGAGAAUGCUGAAGAAAGCAGUGAAGUUGUAUGCUCAGGUGGAGAUGUCACUGAAGUUCCCUUUGGUUCCACCCACAGCGAUGAUAUGGAUGAGAACAAGCUAGGAUUAGUUCCUCAAGAGACAGGGGGAGAUGAAUCAAAACAAUCCAUGCCACAGUUGGUCACCAUGGAUGAAAUUCUGGAAUCAGAAAGCGUGAAGGUGGUGAGUGAUGAUAAGGGUUUGGAAACUGAGAGGUUGGAUCAAGAAGAAUUCGACUCGUUGGGGUAUGAGAACACAGCUGAAGGUGCCAAGAAACUUGUUGAUAUGGUGAAAAUCCUGUGGUCUGCAGUGGAACCACAUUUGCUGAAGAUGCUGGCAUGCUUAUCUGUUGCAGGCCUUGUGACUGUUAUGAUCAAGUAUUCCCAAAGGUCUCGCAAGGUCAAGGUGCCCGUGUCACAACGUAUGCCUUCAGUUCCACCCAGGCGAGUGCCAGUACUAGCUCCACAUAAUACUGUGCCACUGCCGGCGUUCCAUUCAGAGCAACCUGUGCAACGGAUUGUGCCCAAACAAGAGUCAUCUGCCUGCUUGGAGCCUCCUAUGCAAUCCUUGUUGUCAGAGUCAGACCAAUCUGUGUGCCUCAAUGUUCCAUCAAGUGGUCAUAGGGAUCAUGAUCAGAAAGUUCAGCAAGAGGAUGGUGGUGGCGUUGAAAGGGCUUCAGAUGGCAGUACUGUGGAUCAGAAAGAUACUGACAGAUCAAAGCCACCAGUGGUUCAGUUGCUCGGAGAGUUCUCAUUUGUCGAUGCAGAUAGCUCAAGACGGAGGUCUGCCAAAGACUCAAUUCAGCAUGGUGGAGACGUCACGGUUCAGGAAUCCAUGUCUUCGAGGAAGCGUGUAGUCAAGACGCAAAAGGAUUCUGACAAAAUGCAAACCCCUGGUCUUCAAGCAGCAAGAAAGAAGGAGACUGCAAGAGCAGAAGAAGAGAAGGUGGAUGCUACACCGACUCCGCUGAGGCGUUCAAACCGUCUCCGUAAACUGGCUUCUCCUUGA
This 1947-nucleotide ribosomal RNA is filed under the name Triticum aestivum (bread wheat). RNAcentral describes it as "partial small subunit ribosomal RNA". The record is from RNAcentral. Lineage: Eukaryota; Viridiplantae; Streptophyta; Magnoliopsida; Poales; Poaceae.